This 417-nucleotide ribosomal RNA is filed under the name uncultured bacterium. RNAcentral describes it as "bacterial SSU rRNA". It matches the Rfam family "Bacterial small subunit ribosomal RNA", at positions 28 to 444 of the family's 1533-position model. The record is from RNAcentral.
GACGAACGCUGGCGGCGUGCUUAAUACAUGCAAGUCAACGAUUUUUAAGAUAGCAAUAUUUUAAAAUAGUGGCGCACGGUGAGUAACACGUAGAUAAUCUGCCUUUAGGUCUGACAUAACUCGUCGAAAGACGGGCUAAUAUCAGAUAAAACAAUAACUUGGCAUCAAGUAAUUGUCAAAGCUUCGGCGCCCAAAGAUGAGUCUGCGGACCAUUAGGUAGUUGGUGGAUUAACAGCCCACCAAGCCAACGAUGGAUAGCUGGUCUGAGAGGAUGAUCAGCCACACUGGAACUGAGACACGGUCCAGACUCCUACGGGAGGCAGCAGUAAGGAAUAUUGCUCAAUGGGAGAAAUCCUGAAGCAGCAACGCCGCGUGAAGGAAGAAGGGUCUUCGACUUGUAAACUUCUGUAGAAGAGG